CUUUCUUUUUCCACUUUCUUCUGUUCUUUUUCUCUUUGUCCUCUCUCCUCUUUCUCUGAGAGUCUGACAGAGAAAUACACAGGACAAUGGGGAAUGUCUGCUGU
This 104-nucleotide non-coding RNA is filed under the name Paramoeba aestuarina. Lineage: Eukaryota; Discosea; Flabellinia; Dactylopodida; Paramoebidae. The record is from RNAcentral.